CCUACGGGUGGCAGCAGUGGGGGAUAUUGCACAAUGGGGGAAACCCUGAUGCAGCGACGCCGCGUGGGUGAAGAAGUAUUUCGGUAUGUAAAGCCCUAUCAGCAGGGAAGAAAGAAGACGGUACCUGACUAAGAAGCCCCGGCUAACUACGUGCCAGCAGCCGCGGUAAUACGUAGGGGGCGAGCGUUAUCCGGAUUCACUGGGUGUAAAGGGAGCGUAGACGGCCGUGCAAGCCAGGAGUGAAAGCCCGGGGCCCAACCCCGGGACUGCUCGUGGAACUGUGCGGCUGGAGUGCGGGAGGGGCAGGCGGAAUUCCUGGUGUAGCGGUGAAAUGCGUAGAUAUCAGGAGGAACACCGGCGGCGAAGGCGGCCUGCUGGACCGCGACUGACGUUGAGGCUCGAAAGCGUGGGGAGCGAACAGGAUUAGAUACCCCUGUAGUC
Molecule: ribosomal RNA, 441 nt
Filed under: uncultured bacterium
Lineage: Bacteria
Description: partial 16S ribosomal RNA
Rfam family: Bacterial small subunit ribosomal RNA
Source: RNAcentral